GAUGAACGCUGGCGGCGUGCCUAAUACAUGCAAGUCGAGCGAACAGACGAGGAGCUUGCUCCUCUGACGUUAGCGGCGGACGGGUGAGUAACACGUGGAUAACCUACCUAUAAGACUGGGAUAACUUCGGGAAACCGGAGCUAAUACCGGAUAAUAUAUUGAACCGCAUGGUUCAAUAGUGAAAGACGGUUUUGCUGUUACUUAUAGAUGGAUCCGCGCCGCAUUAGCUAGUUGGUAAGGUAACGGCUUACCAAGGCAACGAUGCGUAGCCGACCUGAGAGGGUGAUCAGCCACACUGGAACUGAGACACGGUCCAGACUCCUACGGGAGGCAGCAGUAGGGAAUCUUCCGCAAUGGGCGAAAGCUUGACGGAGCAACGCCGCGUGAGUGAUGAAGGUCUUCGGAUCGUAAAACUCUGUUAUUAGGGAAGAACAAAUGUGUAAGUAACUAUGCACGUCUUGACGGUACCUAAUCAGAAAGCCACGGCUAACUACGUG
RNAcentral lists this ribosomal RNA (497 nucleotides) under uncultured bacterium. RNAcentral's name for it is "partial 16S ribosomal RNA". It matches the Rfam family "Bacterial small subunit ribosomal RNA", at positions 28 to 507 of the family's 1533-position model. The record is from RNAcentral.